RNAcentral lists this ribosomal RNA (254 nucleotides) under uncultured bacterium. Its description in RNAcentral is "partial 16S ribosomal RNA". It matches the Rfam family "Bacterial small subunit ribosomal RNA", at positions 524 to 776 of the family's 1533-position model. The record is from RNAcentral.
UACGUAGGGUGCAAGCGUUGUCCGGAAUUAUUGGGCGUAAAGAGCUCGUAGGCGGCUUGUUACGUCGACUGUGAAAACCCGCGGCUCAACCGUGUGGCUUGCAGUCGAUACGGGCAGGCUAGAGUUCGGUAGGGGAGACUGGAAUUCCUGGUGUAGCGGUGAAAUGCGCAGAUAUCAGGAGGAACACCGGUGGCGAAGGCGCUCAUCUGGCCCAAUACUGACGCUGAGGCGCGAAAGCUAGGGGAGCAAACGGG